AAAGACUUGCGCUAAAGGAGCGGCUGAUGUCUGAUUAGCUAGUUGGUGGGGUAAAGGCUUACCAAGGCAACGAUCAGUAGCUGGUCUGAGAGGACGACCAGCCACACUGGGACUGAGACACGGCCCAGACUCCUACGGGAGGCAGCAGUGGGGAAUUUUGGACAAUGGGCGAAAGCCUGAUCCAGCCAUGCCGCGUGAGUGAAGAAGGCCUUCGGGUUGUAAAGCUCUUUCAGCCGGAACGAAACGGUCACGGUUAAUACCCGUGACUACUGACGGUACCGGAAGAAGAAGCACCGGCUAACUACGUGCCAGCAGCCGCGGUAAUACGUAGGGUGCGAGCGUUAAUCGGAAUUACUGGGCGUAAAGCGUGCGCAGGCGGUUUUGUAAGUCAGAUGUGAAAUCCCCGGGCUUAACCUGGGAACU
RNAcentral lists this ribosomal RNA (423 nucleotides) under uncultured Nitrosospira sp. RNAcentral's name for it is "bacterial SSU rRNA". It matches the Rfam family "Bacterial small subunit ribosomal RNA", at positions 207 to 622 of the family's 1533-position model. Lineage: Bacteria; Pseudomonadati; Pseudomonadota; Betaproteobacteria; Nitrosomonadales; Nitrosomonadaceae. The record is from RNAcentral.